Long non-coding RNA from Cheilinus undulatus (humphead wrasse), 2103 nucleotides. RefSeq lists it as uncharacterized. The transcript has 3 exons. The record is from RefSeq and is a predicted model, not a curated record. NCBI's taxonomy places the organism in Eukaryota, Metazoa, Chordata, Actinopteri, Labriformes, Labridae.
UGGACGAAUGUUCUGUUUAUCACAUCUUUACGGGCCAAUCAGAGCAACAAACCACGUGACGUCAUAGCCCCAUACCAAGGUGUGCCGCUAACGAGGAAUGAACUCCAUAGAGGGCUGCAUAAGGCGAACCAUGGCGACUGUAGUCAUCUGGCCCUUGGAGAGAGACGGCCAAGUUUAUUUUCUCCGCGGUGGUCCCUUUGAGGUGGCGGCGAGGCCCCUGCCACACCGCUGCUGAUGUAUUAGAAUGGCUAAAGAGCCCAAGACAAAUUUCUCAGGCGUUAAAGGACCUUGCCCAUAGACCCACACUGGAUGCUCACUGUGCUCUGGGACCUGAACUCCCAAUCUCCUGUAGGAAAAAUGGUGGUGUAAACUACGCUAUCCAACCACACACCUGCACAUCUGUACAGUUUCUCCUUUUGUGAUGUUAUAUUGUAUUUUAUAAUUUUAUUUUUCUAUUAUAUUUUUUCUAUAACAGUAGUCUGGUCCCCUGAUAUUUUGAUUAGCCUUUUUUAAUUUCUAUUCUUCCUCCACGUUAUUUGUUUUUCCACCAAACACCAAGUCAAAUACCUUGUAUGUGAAUAUGUAUUUGGCAGUAAAACCUGAUUCUGAAAUCCUUUAUGGAAGAUUUGUCUUGCUUUCUACGUGUUUAAAUUGUGUCAUUGUCAAACAUUGACUUGUGAGCCACAGUGAAUAAGGAAGGGGCGUUGCAUGUCACCCACAGGCCACCAAUUGCCCAUCCCUAUAGACUAAGUACUUUUUCUUACCAAAAGACCUUUAAAAAAAUGUAUUUAGUGCUUUCUAAUUUCUUUGUGCAUGCAUGCACUAAACUUCAAGGUCUAAUCAAACACUGUCGACUGGAGUGAUUGAUUCCAAUUCUAACUACUGUAAAUUAGACUACUCUUAGGUCACUGUAUGGUCAAACUAGUUAUCUCGGUUGUUAAGCUGUUCUUUUAUUGACUCAGGCAGCCUAAAGCUGAUGUCCUCAAAGAAGCUGGUCUGUGUCCAAAUUUGGCCUGAGUCAUUGCAAGUCAUUACUCACUCUACCCCCCCAGUUUCUGUCUCUAUCCUAUCUAUGGUAAAAAAUGGGAAAAAAGUCCCAAAAUAAAUCAUAAAAUAUGUAACCAAUAGCUAGCAGUAAUAUCAAUAUGUUGGUGCAGGGCCUCAGUAGAUUGGAUGUCAAAGUUAGAUAAGAACAUGUAAAAGAAAAAAAGCUCCUAUAUAAAUAUGCAAUAUCUUACCUUUAUAAAAUAGUUUUUAGUGUAUUUUGUGAUUUAUGAGGUCAUGACACCGUUGAGCAGGAAAGGAAAGAUGAAAAUGCAGUCAUGCAUUGCUUACUAACUGGUAAAGGCAUGGUCACUUUCUGCUGAGAAGGUAGAAAAUAUUACAGAUGCAGAGAUAGAAGAGAUUUCCCUGUACAGGGAAAGGGUGAUUUACUAUGUGAACACUUCUGUAGCAGCAUCCCUCUUUCCUUUCAACCCAAUAAACCACGAUAACAGAGAGAGAGAGACGGAGAGAAAGAGAGAGGCGGUGUGUCAGAGCGCAUAAAUAACUGUCUCCAUAAUGUAAACACAGCGGUCAUAACCCGAGAGAAUUAAAACAACGGUUCUGGGCGGGAUUACAGCUCAGCUAGCUGACUUUAUACAACCUUUAAAAAAUGUCUAAAAUGAUCUCUGACCCAAGCAACCCGCUUCGAUACUCACUCCUGAUUGGAUGAGUCCUUAACGGUUAAACCAAUCGGUGCUCGGCGAGGUGCGUCAUGUUUAACUGGCUAAAAUGUUACCUCGUUGACCAAAAUCAACUUUUGCUGUCAAAAAGUCGAAAGGAAGCUGUCGCUGAAGAAUAAUUAUUGCUAACUCAAUAUUUUUUUAAGUGUGUGAAUAUGUAGCCCAAUUCAAUAUUAUUAGAACGAUUUAUCUAGGCUAGUCAAAAUAGCACGAAACACACUAAAACUUGUUUUUAAGCCUACCUUAGAUAAACGGAGACUGACUUGUUUGAACUAAGAGCGCUUUAAGUGCUUUCAGAGUCCAAAAUAAUGCUUGAAGGUUUGUUUAUGUAAUGACAACCUCGUCCACUGUUAUCUUCUAGAAACAACAGAGAGACACU